GAUGAACGCUGGCGGCGUGCUUAACACAUGCAAGUCGAACGAAGCAUUUGCGACAGAUUUUUUCGGAAUGAAGUUGCUUAUGACUGAGUGGCGGACGGGUGAGUAACGCGUGGGUAACCUGCCUUGUACUGGGGGAUAGCAGCUGGAAACGGCUGGUAAUACCGCAUAAGCGCACAAUGUUGCAUGACAUGGUGUGAAAAACUCCGGUGGUAUAAGAUGGACCCGCGUCUGAUUAGCUAGUUGGUGAGAUAACAGCCCACCAAGGCGACGAUCAGUAGCCGACCUGAGAGGGUGACCGGCCACAUUGGGACUGAGACACGGCCCAGACUCCUACGGGAGGCAGCAGUGGGGAAUAUUGCACAAUGGAGGAAACUCUGAUGCAGCGACGCCGCGUGAGUGAAGAAGUAAUUCGUGAUGUAAAGCUCUAUAAGCAGGGAAGAUAGUGACGGUACCUGACGAAGAAGCUCCGGCUAAAUACGUG
Molecule: ribosomal RNA, 481 nt
Filed under: uncultured bacterium
Lineage: Bacteria
Description: partial 16S ribosomal RNA
Rfam family: Bacterial small subunit ribosomal RNA
Source: RNAcentral